GAAGUUCGAUCCGGGCUAGGAUGAUGAACGCUGGGGCGGCAUGCUGAACACAUGCAAGUCGAACGGGAAGUGGUGUUUCCAGUGGCGAACGGGUUGAGUACGCGUAAGAACCUGCCUUGAGUGAGGGGAACAACAACUGGGAAACGGUUUUUUGCUAAUUUAACCCGUUGGUGAGGAGCAAAAGAGGAAGAAGAGAAAAGAAUCCGACCAGGAGGGGCUCGCGUCUGAUUAGCUAGUUGGUGAGGGGCAAUAGUUACCCAAGGCGACGUUGAUCAGUAGCUGGUCCAGAGAGGAUGAUCAGCCACACUGGGGACUGAGACACGGCCCAGACUCAUACGGGAGGCAGCAGUGGGAAUUUUUCCGCAAUGGGCGAAGCCUGACGGAGCCCAAUGCCGCGGGGAGGGGAAGGCCUACGGUGGUCGUCAACUUCUUUUCUCGGAGAAGGAAACAAUGACGGUAUCUGAGGAAAUAAAAGCAUCGGCUCGAAACUCUGUGCCGCUAGCCGCGGUAUUAAGACAGAGGAUGCAAGCGUUAUCCGGAAUUGAUUGGGGUAAAGCGUCUGUAGGUUGGCUUUUCAAGUCCGCCGUAAAAUCCCAGGCUCAACCAUGGACAGGCGGUGGACCAAUACCAAGCUGGAGUACGGUAGGGGAGAGGGAAUUUCCGGUGGUGGAGCGGUUGAAUGUGAAUGAAUUGAGAUCGGAAAGAACCCAACGGCGACGAAGAACGCGAACGAAAGCACUCUGCUGGGGCCCGACACUGACACUGACGACGGACGAAAGAUAGGGGGAGCAAAUGGGAUUAGAUUAGAGACCCCCGUAGUCUAGCGUAGGUAAACGUGGAUACUAGGUGCUGUGGCGACUCUCGACCCGGUGAAGUGCUGUAUCUAACGGUUAAGUAUCCCGCCUGGGGAGACGUCGCAAGAAUGAAACUACAAAGGAAUUGGCGGGGGCCCCGCACAAGCGUGGAGCAUGUGGUUUAAUUCGAUGCAAAGCGAAGAACCUUACCAGGCUGACAUUUUGCCGCGAAUCUCGUGAAAAAGAGAGGGGUGGCCCUCGGGAACGCGGACACCAGGUGUGUGAAUGGCUGUCGUCAGCUCGUGCCGUAAGGUGUUGGUUUUAAGUCUCGCAACGAGCGCAAACCUCGGUUUUUAGUUGCCACUAGAGUUUGGAACCACUGAACAGGAACCGCCGGUGUUAAGCGGAGGAAGGAGGGAUGAGGACCAAGUAUCAUGCCUUAUUGCCCUGGGCGACAAACUGUGCUGACAAUGGGCGGGACAAAGGGUUUCGCGAUCUUCGCGAGGGUGAGUAACUCAAAACCCGUACUCAGUUCGGGAUUGCAGGCUGCAACUGGCCUGCAUGAAGCCGGAAUCGCAGUAAUCGCCGGUCAGCCAUUUACGGCGGUGAAAUCCGUUCACGGGCCUUGUACACACCGCCCCCGUCACACUAUAGAGCGGCCAGGUUUGAAGUCAUACCUUACCGUAAGGAGGGGAUGCCUAAGGUAGGCUUGCGACUGGAGUGAAAAAAGUGAGUCGUAACCGUAACAAGGUAGGCCG
RNAcentral lists this ribosomal RNA (1552 nucleotides) under Saccharum spontaneum (wild sugarcane). Its description in RNAcentral is "bacterial SSU rRNA". It matches the Rfam family "Bacterial small subunit ribosomal RNA". Lineage: Eukaryota; Viridiplantae; Streptophyta; Magnoliopsida; Poales; Poaceae. The record is from RNAcentral.